UUUUGAGUGGAACUUGUCACCAACAAGCUUAGAGAUCCAUACCGGGCUGUAGUUCGCGGGACUUGGUGAACCCAACUCUGUAGCUCGGAGCCAGGAGAAGAUCAAGUUUAGGUCUGGGGGGUGUCAGAGAGUCGUAUUGUCUACGUUAUCAAUAUCUUGUUAUUACCUGCUUGUGAGUGUAAGACUUGUAUUCUGAUUGUAUUUGUAAUUUGC
This is a long non-coding RNA of Dioscorea cayenensis subsp. rotundata (Guinea yam), 213 nucleotides long. RefSeq lists it as uncharacterized. The transcript has 3 exons. The record is from RefSeq and is a predicted model, not a curated record. NCBI's taxonomy places the organism in Eukaryota, Viridiplantae, Streptophyta, Magnoliopsida, Dioscoreales, Dioscoreaceae.